This 433-nucleotide ribosomal RNA is filed under the name uncultured bacterium. RNAcentral's name for it is "partial 16S ribosomal RNA". It matches the Rfam family "Bacterial small subunit ribosomal RNA", at positions 29 to 507 of the family's 1533-position model. The record is from RNAcentral.
AACGAACGCUGGCGGCAUGCCUAGCACAUGCAAGUCGAACGAGACCUUCGGGUCUAGUGGCGCACGGGUGCGUAACGCGUGGGAACCUGCCCUUAGGUUCGGAAUAACUCCCCGAAAGGGGUGCUAAUACCGGAUAAUGUCUUCGGACCAAAGAUUUAUCGCCCUUGGAUGGGCCCGCGUUGGAUUAGCUAGUUGGUAGGGUAAAAGCCUACCAAGGCGACGAUCCAUAGCUGGUCUGAGAGGAUGAUCAGCCACACUGGGACUGAGACACGGCCCAGACUCCUACGGGAGGCAGCAGUGGGGAAUAUUGGAAACUGGGCGAAAGCCUGAUCCAGCAAUGCCGCGUGAGUGAUGAAGGCCUUAGGGUUGUAAAGCUCUUUUACCCGGGAUGAUAAUGACAGUACCGGGAGAAUAAGCUCCGGCUAACUCCGUG